AGUGAACGCUGGCGGUAGGCCUAACACAUGCAAGUCGAACGGCAGCACAGUAAGAGCUUGCUCUUACGGGUGGCGAGUGGCGGACGGGUGAGGAAUACAUCGGAAUCUACUUUUUCGUGGGGGAUAACGUAGGGAAACUUACGCUAAUACCGCAUACGACCUACGGGUGAAAGCAGGGGAUCUUCGGACCUUGCGCGAUUGAAUGAGCCGAUGUCGGAUUAGCUAGUUGGCGGGGUAAAGGCCCACCAAGGCGACGAUCCGUAGCUGGUCUGAGAGGAUGAUCAGCCACACUGGAACUGAGACACGGUCCAAACGCCUACGGGAGGCAGCAGCGGGGAAUAUUGGACAAUGGGCGCAAGCCUGAUCCAGCCAGACCGCGUGGGUGAAAAAGACCUUCGGGUUGUAAAGCCCUUUUGUUGGGAAAGAAAAGCAGCAGGUUAAUACCCCGCUGUUCUGACGGUACCCAAAGAAUAAGCACCGGCUAACUACGUG
Molecule: ribosomal RNA, 492 nt
Filed under: uncultured bacterium
Lineage: Bacteria
Description: partial 16S ribosomal RNA
Rfam family: Bacterial small subunit ribosomal RNA
Source: RNAcentral